Molecule: ribosomal RNA, 1438 nt
Filed under: metagenome
Description: bacterial LSU rRNA
Rfam family: Bacterial large subunit ribosomal RNA
Source: RNAcentral
CCUGGGGUAAGCAUGUAGGGCGGAACGUAGGUAAAUCCGCGUUCUAUUCAGCCUGAGAUGUGAUGCCGAGCCGAUUGUGGUGAAGUGGAUGAUCCUAUGCUGCCGAGAAAAGCCUCUAGUGAGUGUUGUGGCGGCCCGUACCCUAAACCGACUCAGGUGGUCAGGUAGAGAAUACCAAGGCGAUCGGGUGAACUGUGGUUAAGGAACUCGGCAAAUUGCCCCCGUAACUUCGGGAGAAGGGGGACCUCUGCUGGUGAUGGGCUUUACGUUCUGAGCUGGUGGGGGUCGCAGUGGCCAGGGGGAAGCGACUGUUUACUAAAAACACAGGUCCGUGCGAAGUCGUAAGACGAUGUAUACGGACUGACGCCUGCCCGGUGCCGGAACGUUAAGGGGACCGCUUAGCCAACGCGAGUUGGCGAAGGUGAGAACUUAAGCGCCGGUAAACGGCGGUGGUAACUAUAACCAUCCUAAGGUAGCGAAAUUCCUUGUCGGGUAAGUUCCGACCUGCACGAAUGGCGUAACGACUUCCCCGCUGUCUCAACCACAGACCCGGCGAAAUUGCACUACGAGUAAAGAUGCUCGUUUCGCGCAGCAGGACGGAAAGACCCCGGGACCUUCACUACAGCUUGACAUUGGCGUUUGGAACGUCUUGUGUAGGAUAGGUGGGAGACUGGGAAGCUGUCACGCUAGUGAUGGUGGAGUCAUUGGUGAAAUACCACUCUGGUCGUUUUGAACGUCUAACUCUGGUCCGUGAUCCGGAUCGGGGACAGUGUCUGGUGGGUAGUUUAACUGGGGCGGUUGCCUCCUAAAGAGUAACGGAGGCGCCCAAAGGUUCCCUCAGCCUGGUUGGCAAUCAGGUGUUGAGUGUAAGUGCACAAGGGAGCUUGACUGUGAGACUGACAGGUCGAGCAGGAGCGAAAGCUGGGACUAGUGAUCCGGCGUCGGCGUGUGGAAGCGGUGUCGCUCAACGGCUAAAAGGUACCCCGGGGAUAACAGGCUGAUCUUCCCCAAGAGUCCAUAUCGACGGGAUGGUUUGGCACCUCGAUGUCGGCUCGUCGCAUCCUGGGGCUGGAGUAGUCCCAAGGGUUGGGCUGUUCGCCCAUUAAAGCGGUACGCGAGCUGGGUUUAGAACGUCGCGAGACAGUUCGGUCCCUAUCCGCUGCGCGCGCAGGAGACUUGAAGGGGGCUGUCCCUAGUACGAGAGGACCGGGACGGACGAACCUCUGGUGUGCCAGUUGUACCGCCAGGUGCACGGCUGGUUGGCUACGUUCGGAAGGGAUAACCGCUGAAAGCAUCUAAGCGGGAAGCUCGCCUUGAGAUGAGGUCUCCCACCCCGUGAGGGGGUAAGGCUCCCGGUAGAUCACCGGGUUGAUAGGCCGGAGGUGGAAGCACGGUAACGUGUGGAGCUGACCGGUACUAAUAGGCCGAGGACUUGACC